GUUUAAAUAAAUGGGAGCCUCAGGAAGAGGAGUGGAUUGGAAUUUGCUUGGGCUCAAACUGGGUAUGACAGCAAAAGCCAGCCUGGGAACUGCAAGCCUAGCCAAGCACUAGCAGGAGGAGGUAAGGAAAUGUACUGGGAUCAGGAUCCCAACAAAAAGGUUCCCGUGGAGGAAUAAAACAGCCUAAAGCUAAGCUUUUCAGAGGGCCCAUCCGUGAAUAGUUAUGAAUACUGUGUGGGCGUUCAGUACCUGGAACAAGACUAAAACUGAAGUUCUGCAGAUAUCUGAGGAGAAUCUCUUGAAUAAACCAGCAGGACUGUACACUGGUAACUAUGGAUUAGGGCCAAAAUAGAA
Molecule: long non-coding RNA, 354 nt
Organism: Oxyura jamaicensis (ruddy duck)
Lineage: Eukaryota; Metazoa; Chordata; Aves; Anseriformes; Anatidae
Exons: 4
Source: RefSeq, a predicted model, not a curated record